Molecule: transfer RNA, 72 nt
Filed under: compost metagenome
Description: tRNA-Glu
Rfam family: tRNA
About the family: Transfer RNA (tRNA) molecules are approximately 80 nucleotides in length. Their secondary structure includes four short double-helical elements and three loops (D, anti-codon, and T loops).
Source: RNAcentral
GGGGCAUUGGUCAAGUGGUAAGACACGACACUUUCACUGUCGAAUCGCGAGUUCAAUUCUCGCAUGCCCUAC